UAAUUUCAUGCCAAAGAGGACUUAAUUAUGAGUUACAUCGCGUUCCUUUCUCUUUCUUCUCCUUCAUCGUUCGUCCUUUUCCUUCUUGCCCAAUCAUUAGCUUAACCUUAACAACUCAAGAGCUUGAGCCUUAGCUCGAUCCUUGUGUUAACUCAAGAGCUUGAGCCCUAACUCGAUCCUUGUGUUCCUUCUCUUCCCUCGAGAGCUCUAUGACUUGAUUGCACCUUCGAGAAGGCCUCCUCUCAAAAGCUCCAUGGUUGGUUGUCCACCCUUCGCUCAAAAGUCCAUGAGUUCGUAUACUGUAUGUUUUUCCCUCUAAAUUUCCUCUCAUUCUCCUAUUCCUCUUUUCCUCUUACCUUGUUUUUUCUCCCAUAAAUCUCCUGCUCCUCUCUGAUUUAGCACAAAACCUUUAUUUUUCCCGCAACCAAGUAAUAUUCUUUUCCGAAGGUUGACAUCCCGUAAUCUCUUGUUUGAUAAACCUUAAGUCAUGAAAAGACUGCUGUUGCGGCCAAGACCGUGAUUUUCCUGCUUUCACAAUCAAACUUGAAUAGAACUAAACUUGCAUGAUACAAAACUGAAUUAGCUGUGUUAGGCCCAAGGUCUCAUAAAGUCACUCAUAUUCUAUUCGAAGAUUUCAUGGUUCUUGCAUUUUUCAUCCUCUCUCUCUAUAAUAUGGAAGGAGAGGCUACCUUGCCACCUAACACAAUAUGGUGAUGGUACCAAUAAAAAAAAAAAAACCAAAACUUGGUAAGUUUUGGUAGGCAAGGGUAAUUUGGGGAGUUUUGGUCAAAUUAUGUGGUUGUUUGCCUGCAAGCUUCCUCUAUCCAAAAAAUAUGGUAGUCAUGUCACUAUAACAAUAAUGACAAUAAUAAUAGUGACAUGGACAGCUAUUCCUAAGAAUUAUUUAUUUGUAUUAAGACUUUUUUUUAGCAAAAAUAAGGAAAGGCGUAAGUCCAACUACGAUUAUCUUCUAAACUUAUCUAGAUGGGUGAUAUUUCUAAUAAAAGCAAGUUCAUCAUGACUUUUUUGGUAGCUAGGAGAGGCCCGUUAGCCUCCGACAAUAUACAUGAGAACGACAAGGUAAUUGUAUCAGUCCCCACUAAAGACUGACUUGCCGAUGCAUAUGGUUAUUUUAGAAGUUGAAAUUAAAUUCGGUAGUAAACAUGGACUUCUCACUCACUUCCAACUUCAGUAUUAAUUCCAGCAAGGAUGAUGAGAAAAUUGGGAUAGUUGUAGAUGGUGAGAAGAUUGGCGAUGUCAAUGGAUGGCAUAAAGUCGGCGGUGGUAGUAGGAGCAGUGAGGGCAACGCUCAAAUAAU
RNAcentral lists this long non-coding RNA (1318 nucleotides) under Phoenix dactylifera (date palm). Its description in RNAcentral is "long non-coding RNA (PDAC_LNC000390)". Lineage: Eukaryota; Viridiplantae; Streptophyta; Magnoliopsida; Arecales; Arecaceae. The record is from RNAcentral.